GAUGAACGCUGGCGGCGUGCCUAAUACAUGCAAGUCGAGCGAACAGACGAGGAGCUUGCUCCUCUGACGUUAGCGGCGGACGGGUGAGUAACACGUGGAUAACCUACCUAUAAGACUGGGAUAACUUCGGGAAACCGGAGCUAAUACCGGAUAACAUGUUGAACCGCAUGGUUCAACAGUGAAAGACGGUCUUGCUGUCACUUAUAGAUGGAUCCGCGCCGCAUUAGCUAGUUGGUAAGGUAACGGCUUACCAAGGCAACGAUGCGUAGCCGACCUGAGAGUGUGGUGAGCAACCAGUGGACGUACACACGGACGAGACGCCAACAGGAGGGAGCAGGGGGGAAUAUUGGAAAAUGGGCGACAGCUUGAAGAAUCAAGACCGGAGGAGUGAAAAAGGUCGUCAAAUCAUAAGACUGUGUUAAGGGGGAAGAACAAGAACGAAAGGAACAAAGACCGGAUGGAAGGUACCGAAUUAGAAAACAACGACUAAAGUCAAG
Molecule: ribosomal RNA, 497 nt
Filed under: uncultured bacterium
Lineage: Bacteria
Description: partial 16S ribosomal RNA
Rfam family: Bacterial small subunit ribosomal RNA
Source: RNAcentral